Molecule: ribosomal RNA, 1310 nt
Filed under: Staphylococcus aureus
Lineage: Bacteria; Bacillati; Bacillota; Bacilli; Caryophanales; Staphylococcaceae
Description: bacterial SSU rRNA
Rfam family: Bacterial small subunit ribosomal RNA
Source: RNAcentral
GAUAACCUACCUAUAAGACUGGGAUAACUUCGGGAAACCGGAGCUAAUACCGGAUAAUAUUUUGAACCGCAUGGUUCAAAAGUGAAAGACGGUCUUGCUGUCACUUAUAGAUGGAUCCGCGCUGCAUUAGCUAGUUGGUAAGGUAACGGCUUACCAAGGCAACGAUGCAUAGCCGACCUGAGAGGGUGAUCGGCCACACUGGAACUGAGACACGGUCCAGACUCCUACGGGAGGCAGCAGUAGGGAAUCUUCCGCAAUGGGCGAAAGCCUGACGGAGCAACGCCGCGUGAGUGAUGAAGGUCUUCGGAUCGUAAAACUCUGUUAUUAGGGAAGAACAUAUGUGUAAGUAACUGUGCACAUCUUGACGGUACCUAAUCAGAAAGCCACGGCUAACUACGUGCCAGCAGCCGCGGUAAUACGUAGGUGGCAAGCGUUAUCCGGAAUUAUUGGGCGUAAAGCGCGCGUAGGCGGCCCUUUAAGUCUGAUGUGAAAGCCCACGGCUCAACCGUGGAGGGUCAUUGGAAACUGGAAAACUUGAGUGCAGAAGAGGAAAGUGGAAUUCCAUGUGUAGCGGUGAAAUGCGCAGAGAUAUGGAGGAACACCAGUGGCGAAGGCCCCUUUCUGGUCUGUAACUGACGCUGAUGUGCGAAAGCGUGGGGAUCAAACAGGAUUAGAUACCCUGGUAGUCCACGCCGUAAACGAUGAGUGCUAAGUGUUAGGGGGUUUCCGCCCCUUAGUGCUGCAGCUAACGCAUUAAGCACUCCGCCUGGGGAGUACGACCGCAAGGUUGAAACUCAAAGGAAUUGACGGGGACCCGCACAAGCGGUGGAGCAUGUGGUUUAAUUCGAAGCAACGCGAAGAACCUUACCAAAUCUUGACAUCCUUUGACAACUCUAGAGAUAGAGCCUUCCCCUUCGGGGGACAAAGUGACAGGUGGUGCAUGGUUGUCGUCAGCUCGUGUCGUGAGAUGUUGGGUUAAGUCCCGCAACGAGCGCAACCCUUAAGCUUAGUUGCCAUCAUUAAGUUGGGCACUCUAAGUUGACUGCCGGUGACAAACCGGAGGAAGGUGGGGAUGACGUCAAAUCAUCAUGCCCCUUAUGAUUUGGGCUACACACGUGCUACAAUGGACAAUACAAAGGGCAGCGAAACCGUGAGGUCAAGCAAAUCCCAUAAAGUUGUUCUCAGUUCGGAUUGUAGUCUGCAACUCGACUACAUGAAGCUGGAAUCGCUAGUAAUCGUAGAUCAGCAUGCUACGGUGAAUACGUUCCCGGGUCUUGUACACACCGCCCGUCACACCACGAGAGUUUGUA